AGCCAAGUAGCGUGCAGGAUGACGGCCCUAUGGGUUGUAAACUGCUUUUAUAAGGGAAUAAAGUGAGUCUCGUGAGACUUUUUGCAUGUACCUUAUGAAUAAGGACCGGCUAAUUCCGUGCCAGCAGCCGCGGUAAUACGGAAGGUCCGGGCGUUAUCCGGAUUUAUUGGGUUUAAAGGGAGCGUAGGCCGGAGAUUAAGCGUGUUGUGAAAUGUAGACGCUCAACGUCUGCACUGCAGCGCGAACUGGUUUCCUUGAGUACGCACAAAGUGGGCGGAAUUCGUGGUGUAGCGGUGAAAUGCUUAGAUAUCACGAAGAACUCCGAUUGCGAAGGCAGCUCACUGGAGCGCAACUGACGCUGAAGCUCGAAAGUGCGGGUAUCGAACAGGAUUAGAUACCCUGGUAGUCCGCACGGUAAACGAUGGAUGCCCGCUGUUGGUCUGAAUAGGUCAGCGGCCAAGCGAAAGCAUUAAGCAUCCCACCUGGGGAGUACGCCGGCAACGGUGCAACUCAAAUGAAUUGACGGA
This 527-nucleotide ribosomal RNA is filed under the name uncultured organism. Its description in RNAcentral is "bacterial SSU rRNA". It matches the Rfam family "Bacterial small subunit ribosomal RNA", at positions 390 to 917 of the family's 1533-position model. The record is from RNAcentral.